This 217-nucleotide long non-coding RNA is filed under the name Lathyrus oleraceus (garden pea). Its description in RNAcentral is "Pisum sativum (pea) long non-coding RNA (PSAT_LNC009911)". Lineage: Eukaryota; Viridiplantae; Streptophyta; Magnoliopsida; Fabales; Fabaceae. The record is from RNAcentral.
UUAAUAUUAAAAAAUGCCAAAAAUAUUUUAUUUGUUUAUUGACUUCCAAUCUUCAUUUUGCUUCUGUUUUCUAUUAUUUGAACUUGAUCUUCUUUAUCUUUGGUCAAUGCUUGUUGAUUAUCUUAUUCCAUUUCCAUUAAUGCACUUUAAUUCUUCAUCUUCUUCUUCUUCUUCCUUUUUCUUUUUGAUCAAUGAGUUAAAGAUUAGUGGUUAGCAU